UGGCUCAGGAUGAACGCUAGCUAUAGGCUUAACACAUGCAAGUCGAGGGGCAGCAUAUAGAUUGCUUGCAAUUUAUGAUGGCGACCGGCGCACGGGUGAGUAACGCGUAUCCAACCUACCCAUUACUAGGGAAUAACCCAGCGAAAGUUGGCCUAAUGCCCUAUGUAGUCGUUUGAUCGCCUGAGAUUUCGACGAAAGAUUUAUCGGUAUUGGAUGGGGAUGCGUCUGAUUAGCUUGUUGGCGGGGUAAAGGCCCACCAAGGCAACGAUCAGUAGGGGUUCUGAGAGGAAUGUCCCCCACAUUGGAACUGAGACACGGUCCAAACUCCUACGGGAGGCAGCAGUGAGGAAUAUUGGUCAAUGGGCGAGAGCCUGAACCAGCCAAGUAGCGUGCAGGAUGACGGCCCUAUGGGUUGUAAACUGCUUUUAUAUGGGAAUAAAGUGAGGGACGUGUCCCUUAUUGCAUGUACCAUAUGAAUAAGGACCGGCUAAUUCCGUG
RNAcentral lists this ribosomal RNA (498 nucleotides) under uncultured Prevotella sp. RNAcentral describes it as "bacterial SSU rRNA". It matches the Rfam family "Bacterial small subunit ribosomal RNA", at positions 20 to 507 of the family's 1533-position model. Lineage: Bacteria; Pseudomonadati; Bacteroidota; Bacteroidia; Bacteroidales; Prevotellaceae. The record is from RNAcentral.